AUACGGGAGGCAGCAAUUAGGAAUUUUGCGCAAUGGGCGAAAGCCUGACGCAGCGACGCCGCGUGACUGAUGAAGUCUUUCGGGAUGUAAAGGUCUUUUGCAGGGGAAGAAGGAUGUGACGGUACCCUGCGAAUAAGCUCCGGCUAACUACGUGCCAGCAGCCGCGGUAAUACGUAGGGAGCGAGCGUUGUCCGAAUUUACUGGGCGUAAAGCGCGCGUAGGCGGGUCAAUAAGUUGUGGGUGAAAUGCCGAGGCUCAACCUCGGCGCUGCCUGCAAGACUGUUGGUCUUGAGGUAUGGAGGGGAAAGCGGAAUUCCUGGUGUAGCGGUGAAAUGCGUAGAUAUCAGGAGGAACACCGAUGGCGAAGGCAGCUUUCUGGCCAUAUCCUGACGCUGAGGUGCGAAAGCCAGGGUAGCGAACGGGAUUAGAUACCCCGGU
This 438-nucleotide ribosomal RNA is filed under the name uncultured bacterium. RNAcentral describes it as "bacterial SSU rRNA". It matches the Rfam family "Bacterial small subunit ribosomal RNA", at positions 339 to 791 of the family's 1533-position model. The record is from RNAcentral.